GAUGAAGAACGUAGCGAAAUGCGAUAAGUAAUGUGAAUUGCAGAAUUCAGUGAAUCAUCGAAUCUUUGAACGCACAUUGCGCCCGUCAGUAUUCUGGCGGGCAUGCCUGUUCGAGCGUCAUUACGCCCCUCAAGUCCCCUGUGGACUUGGUGUUGGGGAUCGGCGAGGCUGGUUUUCCAGCACAGCCGUCCCUUAAAUUAAUUGGCGGUCUCGCCGUGGCCCUCCUCUGCGCAGUAGUAAAACACUCACAACAGGAGCCCGGCGCGGUCCACUGCCGUAAAACCCCCCAACUUUUUAUAGUUGACCUCGAAUCAGGUAGGACUACCCGCUGAACUUAAGCAUAUCAAUAAGCGGAGGA
Molecule: unclassified non-coding RNA, 358 nt
Filed under: soil metagenome
Description: partial contains 5.8S ribosomal RNA, internal transcribed spacer 2, and large subunit ribosomal RNA
Rfam family: 5.8S ribosomal RNA (bases 1-120)
Source: RNAcentral